RNAcentral lists this ribosomal RNA (445 nucleotides) under uncultured bacterium. Its description in RNAcentral is "partial 16S ribosomal RNA". It matches the Rfam family "Bacterial small subunit ribosomal RNA", at positions 354 to 796 of the family's 1533-position model. The record is from RNAcentral.
GUGAGGAAUAUUGGUCAAUGGACGAGAGUCUGAACCAGCCAAGUCGCGUGAAGGAAGAAGGUUCUAUGGAUUGUAAACUUCUUUUGUAAGGGAAUAAAAAAGAGUACGUGUACUCUAUUGUAUGUACUUUACGAAUAAGGAUCGGCUAACUCCGUGCCAGCAGCCGCGGUAAUACGGAGGAUCCGAGCGUUAUCCGGAUUUAUUGGGUUUAAAGGGUGCGUAGGCGGACUUAUAAGUCAGCGGUGAAAGUUUGCAGCUUAACUGUAAAAUUGCCGUUGAAACUGUUAGUCUUGAGUGUAAAUGAGGUAGGCGGAAUGUGUUGUGUAGCGGUGAAAUGCUUAGAUAUAACACAGAACACCAAUUGCGAAGGCAGCUUACUGGGAUACAACUGACGCUGAGGCACGAAAGCGUGGGGAUCAAACAGGAUUAGAAACCCUGGUAGUCC